UAAAAAUUUGUGAUUAUCUGUGAAAUUAACAUAAAAUGAAUGUAUCCAUUUUUCUAGCUGGCGAUAAUAUUGAUCUGUGGAGUAUUUGAGUGGGUUCGCUGAGACGUGAAACUCCACGAUAGCCACUUCACACGCUAUCAUGAGCUAUACCAUCCUGAGACGCUGGACUAGUCUUCCUUAGUUUCUAGCUUCCAGUUUUGACCCAGGAGAGCCUCAAACACUCCGGACAAUUAUCAGAAGACAGAUGAGAGUCUUUGGAAAGCUCAGAGCUCUGGGAGUCAAAUAAAGCCUGCCCCAAAUGGAGAGGACCACACCACUCGCACGGCUAAGAUCAGAGCGCCUCGGAUCAUGAGAGCAGAAUCAUGUGUGCUCCUGCUUUGGGUACGUGAGAUCACGGGGCCGAUCUGCCCCAGCUGUAGGCCUGUCUGUCCUACUGGGCCUCCUCACUGUAGCUUCUGCUAGCAGGGGCCACGGUACAGAAGUGACGGGAGCUUCCUGGAAGGAGCAGAGGGCAAGUGCUUAGCCACCGGACCUGUUCUCAACCCAGUUGCUGCCUUCUCAAGGUCAGGGUCUGAAGAGAGGUCCCCUCUGAGGGUCAGCUGCGUCUGGAAGCAAGGUUACACUGCCUCUUAUGAAAUGGGAGAAGGUCAAGAGGGGAACCAGGUGCUCACAUAACUGGACACUGGUCUGCUUUUGGAAGCCAAUGCUGCAGUGAUGGGCAAGUGGCCUCCCUAGGGAUUUAUUGUUAGGCCAGAGAAAGUGGGGGCUCCCAGAGUUAGACUAGAGGGAGCAGUUAAACCAGAUGGUCAUGCCAAAAGUGAUGGGCUUGAAUAGUUACUUAACAGGAACUGUACUCUCAAAGAGAAGCAACUCGCAGUUCGAAUUCACUGGCUUGGGACGUUUCAUUUUCCUAGUGCUACGUGAAGACCAGGGGAAUCCCUUAAAGAAGGAAGCAACACAUUGUUAGGACUAUUUCCUAACGCAAGCUCCCCGCCGCAGCAAAAUUCCCAAUCAAGCCAAAUCAAAACAAGCCAAAUUAAGAAAUAUCCAGGUUUAAUGGGAGUUCUGCGCUCUUGGGUGGCCCCAAGGGGGAACCAGGAAGCCAUGCAAAAGCAAGGCAGAAAAAAAGGAGACCACAUGUUCCUCUUGUGGGGGCUCAUUUAAAUACCUGGGGUGUGGUCUUGACCCCACCCCCAGGGAGGGGUCAGGA
Non-coding RNA from Myodes glareolus (Bank vole), 1210 nucleotides. The record is from RefSeq and is a predicted model, not a curated record. NCBI's taxonomy places the organism in Eukaryota, Metazoa, Chordata, Mammalia, Rodentia, Cricetidae.